RNAcentral lists this ribosomal RNA (399 nucleotides) under uncultured bacterium. RNAcentral describes it as "partial 16S ribosomal RNA". It matches the Rfam family "Bacterial small subunit ribosomal RNA", at positions 359 to 774 of the family's 1533-position model. The record is from RNAcentral.
AAAAUUGCACAAUUGGGCGAACUCUUAUGCAGCAACGCCGCGUGGGUGAAGAAGGUCUUCGCAUCGUAAAACUCUGUCAUUGGGGAAGAAUAAAUGACGGUACCCUAUGAGGAAGCCCCGUCUAACUACGUGCCAGCAGCCGCGGUAACACGGAGGGGGCGAGCGUUGUCCGGAAUUACUGGGCGUAAAGGGUACGUAGGCGGCUAUAUAAGUCAGGUGUGAAAUACCAGUGCUUAACACUGGAAUUGCAUUUGAAACUGUGUAGCUUGAGUGCAGGAGAGGAAAGUGGAAUUCCUAGUGUAGCGGUGAAAUGCGUAGAGAUUAGGAGGAACACCAGUGGCGAAGGCGACUUUCUGGACUGUAACUGACGCUGAGGUACGAAAGCGUGGGUAGCGAACA